This 466-nucleotide ribosomal RNA is filed under the name uncultured bacterium. Its description in RNAcentral is "partial 16S ribosomal RNA". It matches the Rfam family "Bacterial small subunit ribosomal RNA", at positions 28 to 507 of the family's 1533-position model. The record is from RNAcentral.
GAUGAACGCUGGCGGCGUGCUUAACACAUGCAAGUCGAACGAUGAAGCCCAGCUUGCUGGGUGGAUUAGUGGCGAACGGGUGAGUAACACGUGAGUAACCUGCCCUUAACUCUGGGAUAAGCCUGGGAAACUGGGUCUAAUACCGGAUAGGAGCGUCCACCGCAUGGUGGGUGCUGGAAAGAUUUAUCGGUUUUGGAUGGACUCGCGGCCUAUCAGCUUGUUGGUGAGGUAAUGGCUCACCAAGGCGACGACGGGUAGCCGGCCUGAGAGGGUGACCGGCCACACUGGGACUGAGACACGGCCCAGACUCCUACGGGAGGCAGCAGUGGGGAAUAUUGCACAAUGGGCGCAAGCCUGAUGCAGCGACGCCGCGUGAGGGAUGACGGCCUUCGGGCUGUAAACCUCUUUCAGUAGGGAAGAAGCGAAAGUGACGGUACCUGCAGAAGAAGCACCGGCUAACUACGUG